Molecule: long non-coding RNA, 316 nt
Filed under: Homo sapiens (human)
Lineage: Eukaryota; Metazoa; Chordata; Mammalia; Primates; Hominidae
Description: HSALNT0139147
Source: RNAcentral
UCAUAGGAUAGGUAGAGAUCACUGAGGAUGAGGGAAACAUGGCAUAAUCCUCCUUAAGAAAAUGAUGCAAGCCUGGCAUGUUUUGGGACAAUCUAAAGAAGCAAGGAAAAUAUUUGUAUCUAUUUUGGUUCAUGUGUAACAUUUGUUUCUCUUUACAUUAUACAGCACAAGCAUUAUGGCUAUAUAAUUUAUAUCUUUUUAAUCUUAGGGGCAAGGUGUUGAGUUAAUGAUACUCACUAACACACAGUACAUACUUCAACUAUCCAUGCCAAGGUAUCUCUUUUAUUUUCUUUUUAUUAUUUGUCAUUCAUACCCC